GACAGAGGGUGCGAGCGUUGUCCGGAAUCACUGGGCGUAAAGGGCGCGUAGGUGGCGGCCCAAGUCCAUGGUGAAAGCUCGAUGCUCAACAUCGAGUCGGCCACGGAUACUGGGUUGCUCGAGCACUGUAGGGGCAGAUGGAAUUCCGGGUGUAGCGGUGGAAUGCGUAGAGAUCCGGAAGAACACCGGUGGCGAAGGCGGUCUGCUGGGCAGUUGCUGACACUGAGGCGCGACAGCGUGGGGAGCAAACAGG
RNAcentral lists this ribosomal RNA (253 nucleotides) under uncultured bacterium. RNAcentral's name for it is "partial 16S ribosomal RNA". It matches the Rfam family "Bacterial small subunit ribosomal RNA", at positions 524 to 776 of the family's 1533-position model. The record is from RNAcentral.